CUUGAAACACGGACCAAGGAGUCUAGCAUGUGCGCGAGUCAUUGGGAAUCACUAAACCUAAAGGCGCAAUGAAAGUGAAGGCCCGCCUAGCGCGGGCCGAGGGAAGAUGGGCGGUCACGGUUUCCGUGCCGCUCCGCACUCCCGGGGCGUCUCGUUCUCAUUGCGAGAAGAGGCGCACCAAGAGCGUACACGCUGGGACCCGAAAGAUGGUGAACUAUGCCUGGUCAGGACGAAGUCAGGGGAAACCCUGAUGGAGGUCCGUAGCGAUUCUGACGUGCAAAUCGAUCGUCGGAACUGGGUAUAGGGGCGAAAGACUAAUCGAACCAUCUAGUAGCUGGUUCCCUCCGAAGUUUCCCUCAGGAUAGCUGGCGCUCGUCGCCUACGAGUCUCAUCCGGUAAAGCGAAUGAUUAGAGGCAUUGGGGUCGAAACGGCCUCAACCUAUUCUCAAACUUUAAAUGGGUGAGAUCUCCGGCUUGCUCGAACUUAUGAAGCCGCGAGACACGGAUCAGAGUGCCAAGUGGGCCAUUUUUGGUAAGCAGAACUGGCGCUGUGGGAUGAACCAAACGCCGAGUUAAAGCGCCUAAAUCGACGCUUAUGGGAUACCAUGAAAGGCGUUGGUAACUUAAGACAGCAGGACGGUGGCCAUGGAAGUCGGAAUCCGCUAA
Molecule: ribosomal RNA, 666 nt
Filed under: Stigmatium sp. UPOL001129
Lineage: Eukaryota; Metazoa; Arthropoda; Insecta; Coleoptera; Cleridae
Description: eukaryotic LSU rRNA
Rfam family: Eukaryotic large subunit ribosomal RNA
Source: RNAcentral